This 558-nucleotide ribosomal RNA is filed under the name Colletotrichum gloeosporioides. RNAcentral describes it as "eukaryotic LSU rRNA". Lineage: Eukaryota; Fungi; Ascomycota; Sordariomycetes; Glomerellales; Glomerellaceae. The record is from RNAcentral.
AUAUUCUCUCGCCCCAUUGAUGGGGUAAUUUUUAGUGAGUGUUCUCUUCCUCACUCCGCGGUGAACAACCUUAAAAAAUGGGGGUGUUGGGGCGAGAGUUUUUCCUGACUCCCCCCGGCGCGCGCACAGUUGCUUCUCAAAAGCGGCUCCGGGGAGAGCCUCCUCCACUUUUGGAGGGCUUCUUUUAGUGGUGGGGGCCCCACAACUCAACAGUGUUUGAAGGGGUGAUUUGCGUUCGGACAUGCAUGACCACCCAGAAGAAUGCCGGUAACAAUGUGGAAUGCAAGAAUCAAUGGAUCAAUGGAUUCUUCGACUCCACAUUGCGCCCGCCACCAUUUUGGUGGGCAAGCCUGUCCGAGCGUCAUUUCAACCCUCAAGCUCUGCUUGGUGUUGGGGCCCUACAGCUGAUGUAGGCCCUCAAAGGUAGUGGCGGACCCUCCCGGAGCCUCCUUUGCGUAGUAACUUUACGUCUCGCACUGGGAUCCGGAGGGACUCUUGCCGUAAAACCCCCAAUUCUCCAAAGGUGAGCUCGGAUCAGGUAGGAAUACCCGCGAACUA